This 450-nucleotide ribosomal RNA is filed under the name uncultured soil bacterium. RNAcentral's name for it is "bacterial SSU rRNA". It matches the Rfam family "Bacterial small subunit ribosomal RNA", at positions 26 to 518 of the family's 1533-position model. The record is from RNAcentral.
AGAACGAACGCUGGCGGCAUGCCUAACACAUGCAAGUCGAACGAGACCUUCGGGUCUAGUGGCGCACGGGUGCGUAACGCGUGGGAAUCUGCCCUUGGGUUCGGAAUAACAGCGAGAAAUUGCUGCUAAUACCGGAUGAUGACGUAAGUCCAAAGAUUUAUCGCCCAAGGAUGAGCCCGCGUAGGAUUAGCUUGUUGGUGAGGUAAGAGCUCACCAAGGCGACGAUCCUUAGCUGGUCUGAGAGGAUGAUCAGCCACACUGGGACUGAGACACGGCCCAGACUCCUACGGGAGGCAGCAGUGGGAAUAUGGACAAUGGGCGAAAGCCUGAUCCAGCAAUGCCGCGUGAGUGAUGAAGGCCUUAGGGUUGUAAAGCUUCGUUUACCCGGAUGAAUAAUGACAGUACCGGAGAAAGUAAGCUACCGGCUAACUCCGUAGCCGAGCAGCCGAC